CAUCUUGGGGCGACGGCCAGAAGUCCAGGGCUAGGAGCCUCAGCCGGCGGACGCCAGGAAACAGCAGUUACUGAUGCUACAAUAUUCCUUUAUGAAGCCAAGAACUGAACCAAAAUACAAACAACAUAAACUACCACUUGAUGAGAAGAACUUCAAAGUCAAAUUGCAAAAGGUGACUAAAAAAGGGGAGUACUUUCAGCCGUUUUCAAAAUAAUCUAUGAUAUGUACUGGAAAACUUCUAAUAAUCCUUGUCAUUUUACAACUUUCCCACAGUUAGAUCAUCAGCAAAUGUCACUUGGAUCCCUAGCUAAAUUGUUCUUCCCAGAAAAUAGUUAUCUCCACUAUGGAAAGUAUUUUAUCAGAAGAAUUCGUAGAAGUAGAAUCUGUUUGUCUUCAGUUAAACAAAAGAAGAACCUCAUUGCUUUCCAACUGGGCCCCGGCCAUUUUCCAGUUGAAACAUCAAAUAUUUUAUUUGUGUCUUUCACUGCCAAUUAAAGGGCAACAGAAAUGGUACAGGCUCCCUCUGCAGUGGAAUUACCCUUAUGUCUUUUCUGUCUAUGCUGAUCCACCUGAUCUUGAACUGGUGCUAUUCCAUGGGGAAAAUUGGAACAUGGGGCAAUUAACACUUUCUCCACUUUAUCCCAUCAACAGGAAAUUGAAAUAUAACCAACUAACUCAGGAGACAUCAUGGAAGAUGUCACACAGUGAAUGAUGAUGAAGCAGAAUUUUUAAAAUGUGUAGGAUUACGAGAAGUGGGGUCAUUUUUCUUUGUGUAUGGUAUUGCUGAUGCAGUUUAAUGCUCCAUUACUUCUAAAUUUUCAUCAUAAGCUAGAUUUUCCAGUUGUGGUUUCUAUAAAGAAAAACAAACAUUCUGAAGACAGUUUUUCCAGAUUUAUUCCAGAUAUCGAUGAUUAACUUUUGAAGCUCCUCUGUUGAUUUGAACAUCCGCUGAAGCUUAUUUUUCACCUCAGAAUAGCAUCAACAUUAUUUGAAAUUCAAUUGUACUUUCUCGUUACAUUAAUAAAUCAUGGAAGUUGAGAA
Long non-coding RNA from Homo sapiens (human), 1041 nucleotides. RefSeq annotates it as long independently transcribed non-coding RNA 879. The record is from RefSeq and is marked validated. NCBI's taxonomy places the organism in Eukaryota, Metazoa, Chordata, Mammalia, Primates, Hominidae. The transcript has 8 exons.